GGAACUUUCCCGUUACGUAUCAAAAUCUGAAGUUCAUUGAACUGUACCAAGUUAGUUUUGAAGACAUGAAGGAGUUAUUUGUUGUGCUUCGCUUGAUUGUGAGUUCUCCUAAUCUAGAGGAGCUUCAGAUAUCUAGUUCCUCGAUUACAACCACCACCGAUAUUUAUGAUCUAGAAUUUUGGGAGAGAGACUGGCCUGCUGACUGCAUUUUUGGUAAACUGAAGAUUGUGCAUAUGACUGAUUUCUCCGGUCUGCCACAUGAAAUCGCAUUUAUCAAAUUCUUACUUGGACAUUCACCUGUUCUCGAACAAAUGAUUGUGGCUCCUACUAUAUACG
This 336-nucleotide unclassified non-coding RNA is filed under the name Hevea brasiliensis (rubber tree). The record is from RNAcentral. Lineage: Eukaryota; Viridiplantae; Streptophyta; Magnoliopsida; Malpighiales; Euphorbiaceae.